Molecule: ribosomal RNA, 788 nt
Filed under: Microsporidium sp. PCN7a
Lineage: Eukaryota; Fungi; Microsporidia
Description: SSU rRNA
Rfam family: Microsporidia small subunit ribosomal RNA
Source: RNAcentral
UUUAGCCAUGCAUGUGUAAGCGAACAAUAGGGAGCUGCGGACUGCUCAGUAACAGGCGAUUAAUUUUAUCUUUACAAACGGACAAGCUCAGGAAACGGAGUGUAAUACGUAAAAGACGAAUUUUUAAAUAAAAAGAAAACGUUUUUAGCUUGAAUAAAGCGGUAAAGAAUAAGACGCCAACCCAUCAGUUAGUAAGUAGGGUAAGGGCCUAUUUAGACGAAUACGGGUACGGGGAAUUAGGGUUUGAUUCCGGAGAGGGAGCCUGAGAGACGGCUACCAGGUCCAAGGACGGCAGCAGGCGCGAAAAUUACCGAAGCUCAAAUAGAGGCGGUAGUAAUGAGACGUAAAAAAAUAAUAUAAGGGUAAAAAACUUAUUAAUAACUGGAGGUCAAGUCUGGUGCCAGCAUCCGCGGUAAUACCAGCUCCAGGGGUGUCUAUGAUGAUUGCUGCGAUUAAAAGGUCCGUAGUCGAAUUUAGAUAAUUGUUUGUAAUAUGUUAGAUAAAAUAAUAAAAAGAACAAUUAGUUAAAUGAAAGGAAUAGCAAGAGGUUGAUUAAUCGAGUAACGAGAGGUGAAAUUUGAUGACUUACUUGGGAGAAACAGAGGCGAAAGCGUCAAUCAAGUGUAAAUCCGAUGAUCAAGGACGUAGGCUGGAGUAUCGAACACGAUUAGAUACCGUAGUAGUUCCAGCAGUAAACUAUGCCUACGCCAUUGAAUAAAAGUUUGGUGGACGAGAAAUCUAGAGUAGGGCUUGGGGAAGAGUACACGCGCAAGCGAUAAAUUUAAAGG